RNAcentral lists this ribosomal RNA (453 nucleotides) under Triticum aestivum (bread wheat). Its description in RNAcentral is "partial small subunit ribosomal RNA". Lineage: Eukaryota; Viridiplantae; Streptophyta; Magnoliopsida; Poales; Poaceae. The record is from RNAcentral.
AUGAGAGUCCAAUUUGAAUCCCCUAUCAUCAGCGAUCUCCCGGACGCCAUCCUUGGGGAGAUCAUCUCGCUUCUCCCCACCAAGGAUUGCUGCCGCACCCAAGUCCUCUCAACUCGGUGGCGCCCUCUAUGGUGCGUCACGCCCCUUAAUCUCGACUGUCGUCAGCUAUCUGUCUUUAAUGAUUUUGAACUUCCCAGAGCCAUCAUCUCCUCCCACCAGGGCUCCAUUCAAAGCCUCUGUGUUCUGUCAUGUUACCUGAGCAAGCAUAGCAUGCCCUGCACGGUGGACGCCUGGCUGAAAUUCCCUGAAUUCACAGAACUACAGCUGCUUGAGUUCUACUAUUCCCCAGGAAAUCACCUACUAGAUACCGAAAGCCAUGUACUUGUGCCCUCAGCAUCGAUGUCCAUCUCGCGGUUUUCCUCCUCUCUCCACACCGCCACCUUUGUGCUGUGA